CAUCCCCACCUUCCGUUCCCAUCCAUCUCGCGUGCCCGCCGCCGCCACACCUCGCGCCGGCGGAUGGAGCCUGCCCCGCCUCUGUGCCACUGUAUCCCGCUCCUCCCUCCCGUCCUCCAACUCGCCUUUUCCUCCGUAUCGAGCCGUUGUUCCUCCGCCGGCGUCGGGAGGUCAAGGGGAAGCGGCAGCCGCGCGUGAACCCGGACGGAUUCGAUGAGCUCCGCCAUGCCGGAUCUGAGGAGCUCCGCGCCGGAUCCGCCCGUCCACGGAGUCCGCGCAGUCUCCCCCUUCCUCCCAUCCAUUUCCCUUUUCCUGGUGCGGUAGCAGCCGAGGCGAACGGUGGAGUCGAGAGGCAGCAGCCGGUGACGUGAAGCGCAUCUAUGGAAUAGUUGCACGCUCUAGACCGUAUAGUUGGCGGGAGACAUUGUACAGUGAGGCAGUCACAGAUCUAGCUGUGCCAAUCUCAGACAUUAUCUUGCCAACUUCAGAGUACAAACUGCCAAGCAAACCUGAUACAGUGCCAACUCAAAAUCUCAGCAUAACAUCUAGCAAAGUACCAACAGACAAAGGCCCAGUGCCAACUCCAUGAGCCAUUGUGGCAACUCCAGUAGCCACUGUACCAACUCUAGCAUCCAGUGAGACAGCUGCAGGUCCAAAAUGUGCCAACUCUAACAACCACAUUGUGCCAACUCCAGCAUCCAGUGAGCCAACUGCAGGUCCAAUUGUGCCAACACCGACAACCACUGUGCCACCCCAGCAGCUAUUGAGCCAACUGCAGGUCUACUUGUGCCAACUGCAAGACAUUUGGUUGGCAACUCUCAAUGGUAUUGGGCAACCUGUUCAAUCUCCUUUGCCAAUAGCUCAAAAAGGCACAAGGUUUGAUCAUCAAAACAAACUAACCAAGAAGGAGGUCUAUAGGAAUCUACGCUUUUUUUGAAGAUGACAAAGCCAUGGGUAAACAAGGUCCGGAGGGGAGGUGAAGGGGAAGCUAAAGAGGAAGAAAUUUAAUGGAUCCUCACUUUCCCUCCACCUGGUUGUUGUGGUUGCACAGUUGUGUGUGCAGAUGGCUCACUUGCUGGUGGAGUUGGCACAACGGCUGAUAUAGUUAGUUCAUUUGGACCUGUAGCUGGCUCAUUUGGUGCUGCAGUUGCCACAAUAGUGGCUGGGUUUACUCGUUUGGUGCCUGGGAUGCUGACAUACUAACCAUGUUUUUGCACAUCUUUUUUGUUGCACAUAAUUUUUGCACACAGUGUGGCUAUUUUUUUGGCUGCGGGAACUGACUUAGUUGCAUGAAAGCAGCUUAAAUUUGCCUAGGUUUUGUUUGCACACAACUAUUAUUAAUAUAUUUUCUAUCUACUUUUUUUGCACA
Molecule: long non-coding RNA, 1369 nt
Organism: Triticum dicoccoides
Lineage: Eukaryota; Viridiplantae; Streptophyta; Magnoliopsida; Poales; Poaceae
Exons: 2
Source: RefSeq, a predicted model, not a curated record